AAAAAGACAAACCCUGGGUUUCCAUGUCCAACUUUGACUGUCCGUCUUAUAUAAAAUUUUUUUAUAAUUCGUAUUUUCAUUAUUAUUAGAUGAUAAAACAUGAUUAAUAUUUUAUGCGUGACUUGUCUUUUUAAUUUUUUUCAUAUUUUUUCAAAUAAGACGGACGGUCAAACGUUGGGCACGGAAACCAGGGUUUGCCUUUUUU
Molecule: microRNA precursor, 205 nt
Filed under: Oryza nivara
Lineage: Eukaryota; Viridiplantae; Streptophyta; Magnoliopsida; Poales; Poaceae
Description: MIR812 microRNA precursor family
Rfam family: MIR812 microRNA precursor family
Source: Rfam by way of RNAcentral